AGAGUUUGAUCAUGGCUCAGAUUGAACGCUGGCGGUAUGCUUAACACAUGCAAGUCGAACGGUAACAGGCCUUCGGGCGCUGACGAGUGGCGGACGGGCGAGUAACGCGUAGGAAUCUGCCUCAUAGUGGGGGACAACGUGGGGAAACCCACGCUAAUACCGCAUACGCCCUACGGGGGAAAGCGGGGGCUCUUCGGACCUCGCGCUAUGAGAUGAGCCUGCGUUAGAUUAGCUAGUUGGUAGGGUAAAGGCCUACCAAGGCGACGAUCUAUAGCUGGUCUGAGAGGACGAUCAGCCACACUGGGACUGAGACACGGCCCAGACUCCUACGGGAGGCAGCAGUGGGGAAUAUUGGUCAAUGGGCGCAAGCCUGAUCCAGCAAUACCGCGUGUGUGAAGAAGG
This 402-nucleotide ribosomal RNA is filed under the name uncultured bacterium. RNAcentral describes it as "bacterial SSU rRNA". It matches the Rfam family "Bacterial small subunit ribosomal RNA", at positions 8 to 414 of the family's 1533-position model. The record is from RNAcentral.